CGGGGUGGAGCAGCACGGUAGCUCGUCGGGCUCAUAACCCGAAGGUCGCAGGUUCAAAUCNUAUUUAA
RNAcentral lists this transfer RNA (68 nucleotides) under Bacillus thuringiensis. RNAcentral's name for it is "tRNA-Met". The stretch from base 6 to 64 matches the Rfam family "tRNA", at positions 8 to 63 of the family's 71-position model. Rfam says of the family: Transfer RNA (tRNA) molecules are approximately 80 nucleotides in length. Their secondary structure includes four short double-helical elements and three loops (D, anti-codon, and T loops). Further hydrogen bonds mediate the characteristic L-shaped molecular structure. tRNAs have two regions of fundamental functional importance: the anti-codon, which is responsible for specific mRNA codon recognition, and the 3' end, to which the tRNAs corresponding amino acid is attached (by aminoacyl-tRNA synthetases). tRNAs cope with the degeneracy of the genetic code in two manners: having more than one tRNA (with a specific anti-codon) for a particular amino acid; and 'wobble' base-pairing, i.e. permitting non-standard base-pairing at the 3rd anti-codon position. The record is from RNAcentral. Lineage: Bacteria; Bacillati; Bacillota; Bacilli; Caryophanales; Bacillaceae.